This 464-nucleotide ribosomal RNA is filed under the name uncultured bacterium. RNAcentral describes it as "partial 16S ribosomal RNA". It matches the Rfam family "Bacterial small subunit ribosomal RNA", at positions 339 to 795 of the family's 1533-position model. The record is from RNAcentral.
CUACGGGACGCUCCAGUGGGGAAUUUUGGACAAUGGGGGCAACCCUGAUCCAGCCAUGCCGCGUGAGUGAAGAAGGCCUUCGGGUUGUAAAGCUCUUUCAGCCGGGAAGAAAUCGCAUGGGUUAAUACCCUGUGCGGAUGACGGUACCGGAAUAAGAAGCACCGGCUAACUACGUGCCAGCAGCCGCGGUAAUACGUAGGGUGCGAGCGUUAAUCGGAAUUACUGGGCAUAAAGCGUGCGCAGGCGGAUGCUUAAGUCAGAUGUGAAAUCCCCGGGCUUAACCUGGGAAUUGCAUUUGAAACUGGGUGUCUAGAGUGCGUCAGAGGGGGGUGGAAUUCCACGUGUAGCAGUGAAAUGCGUAGAUAUGUGGAGGAACACCAAUGGCGAAGGCAGCCCCCUGGGAUGACACUGACGCUCAUGCACGAAAGCGUGGGGAGCAAACAGGAUUAGAUACCCGUGUAGUC